AGUAGAUGAUGUAGAGAUAUUAUGUAAUCUGUUUAGCAUGACUUUUGACCCUAAAAAGGUAGAGGUCAUAUAGCAAAUGGAAACAAAUGGCCGCGUAAACAAAGCCAGCCUUGAUGCUGAGCCGCCCUCAGCUCAUCCCAAACAUCUCAUCAUCUUAUCUCCGCGGCCCCCACUUGCCUCCAACCACAAACCGCAGAAUUGAUUUUGGACACGAUAACUCGCGCAUGUGAAUCACAGCCCCGAGCGUCGUCCUAAAACUACAUUAGAUAAGCAUUUACACAAGCCAAACUCCGCACGGAGCGAUUUCGACAUCUCCGCCGAGCCAGAACACAGCCAAGGACAACAACAGAAAGCCUCCUGGCUCCAGUGGAAGCAGGGGACGCAGGUGGAACAUGGAGGCAGGCUCAGGCGGACUCAGCGGACGGCCACAGUUUGCAGGAUCCAAACGCAGCCGGAAAUAGCGGCGUGCUGGAGGACGCGGUGGUAGAGCACUUACUGGCUCCUGAAUGAUUCUGCAGAGUCUUCCUGGAAGUGUGACUCUGACAAGUGAGGUAAAACACGAGGCGAGGCUCAUUCCGUGAGUGCAGACGUCCUGAAGUUCACCCAAAACGUCCGAGUCACGCAAAUGGAAUCUGCCUUGUGCUUGUGGCGUCUGCUGCACUCCUUCGUGGAUCUGCUUCACUUCCUGUUUUGCAACGCUCGCGCUGAGGAUGAGCCUCUCGUCCCGGCGAAGGGGUCAGACGGGGUGGACAGCCGGCGCUGGGAGUGUGAGCGGCCGAUCGACUGUGUCCUUCAAAAUGCUGUUGAUUUGAGACGAAAACAUUCUUUUUGCAAAUUUAUGCUCUUGUGUUAUGGGUCUCUUUGGGAAGAGUCUCCCGGGUUUUCUGGCUUCGCGUCACCUCCUGAUGCUGCUUCACCACAGAGUGACCAGGACAGCGCUGCUGCUGUCGCCGGUCCAAGUUCAUAAGACACGCAGAUGCCAGAGAAGUGCAGUGGGGUGAAUGCGGCUUUCCCAGGCUCUGAGUCCAGGAGGAAACCCUGCUCUUUGGUCUUACACACACACACACACACACACACACACACACACACACACACACACACACACACACACACACACACACACACACACACACACACACACGGAGCCAGCAACCAAAACAAACAUGUUUAAUAGUGAAUUAUUGCUUGUGGUUGCAGAGGCUGUGGUUUUAUCGCUGAAAUGAAUAAGUUGGCGUCCUACGGGGCAAAAGAUAAGACGCUCUGGUGUCAUUCCUGUUUCACCAGCAACCAUUUACUAACCUCUUAAUGGAGUAAUUACAAGAACAGACUGAUUUGGAAACUCAGUGAAACGCUCUUGCACAACAGCUCCGUGCGCUUCGCAGGAAUGCGCCCUGACGCUCCUCGCGCCAUAAUAAGGCCAUAAACUGAAGGAUUACCAGACCCAAUUAAAAUCAAACCUCAGUCUCUGUCCGCACAUUCUCCAGAUGCGCCGUCGCAAACUGCACGCGAGCGCAAACGAAGAGGCGUGUGAAAUAACAUGUUUUUCACGCCACGGAGACGGACCCGGCCCACGUCCUCCUGUCCACGUUCCGGUUCGGGUUUGGAGGCAGCGGUGCAGAGGUACCGUGUGUGCGUGCCCCCGGUAAUCAUCUGCGGGCCUGAGCACGAGCCAAAGAGGAAGAGGGGCGCAAUGAGCUCAAGGGCUCGCGCAGCCGCGUCACGUGGUGCGGCGCAGAUGUGCGGCCAUAAGCGGGCUGGACCACAGCGGAGAGGACGCUUAAUUGCAAUCUGAUCGUUUUUGAUCCAAAAGGAAAACAAAUCAAACAUUUAGCGCGAGGUCGAGCUAGAAGUUUAUUUCCUCAUCAUGUCGCGGCUCUCCGGUGAUGCGCCCGGAGUGUUCUGCUGGGAACUGCUGUUUUCUUUCCUGAUUAAAAGAGAAAACAGCACAAACGACUGCAACGUUGACCUGACGUGGUUGGAUAAAUAUUCCAGAACGUCAAUUUCCAGAUGAUCCAAACGGUCCUGCGCAUAUUUAUUUGUUUGUUUGGCUUCUCUUUGUCUGUUACUCAUUUCGCGUGAUUGUGUAAAUAAAAGUUGGGGGAAGUAAGAUCA
RNAcentral lists this long non-coding RNA (2112 nucleotides) under Betta splendens (Siamese fighting fish). Its description in RNAcentral is "lncRNA (ENSBSLG00000017584.1)". Lineage: Eukaryota; Metazoa; Chordata; Actinopteri; Anabantiformes; Osphronemidae. The record is from RNAcentral.